UACCAGCUCUCCGAGUGGUGUGGAUGUUUAUUGGGCCUAAAGCAUCCGUAGCUGGCUGGACAAGUCCCCUGUUAAAUCCACCGAUUUAAUCGUUGGUGUGCGGGGGAUACUGUUCGGCUAGGGGACGGGAGAGGCCGACGGUAUUUCCGGGGUAGGGGUGAAAUCCUAUAAUCCCGGGAAGACCACCAGUGGCGAAGGCUGUCGGCUAGAACGCGCCCGACGGUGAGGGAUGAAAGCUGGGGGAGCGAACCGGAUUAGAUACCCGGGUAGUCCCAGCUGUAAACGAUGCAGGCUAGGUGUUGGGGUGGCUACGAGCCACUUCAGUGGCGCAGGGAAACCAUUAAGCCCGCCGCCUGGGAAGUAUGAUCGCAAGAUUGAAACUUAAAGGAAUUGGCGGGGGAGCACCACAAGGGGUGAAGCUUGCGGUUU
This 429-nucleotide ribosomal RNA is filed under the name uncultured archaeon. RNAcentral describes it as "bacterial SSU rRNA". It matches the Rfam family "Archaeal small subunit ribosomal RNA", at positions 474 to 903 of the family's 1478-position model. The record is from RNAcentral.